This 6233-nucleotide long non-coding RNA is filed under the name Sus scrofa (pig). RNAcentral describes it as "lncRNA (ENSSSCG00015010184.1)". Lineage: Eukaryota; Metazoa; Chordata; Mammalia; Artiodactyla; Suidae. The record is from RNAcentral.
UUUUUUUUUUUUUUAACACUCUUUUAACUUAAAGCUACUAAACAGAUUUUUAUUUUAAUCUUUGGAACAAAAAAUGUUCUCUUGGGCUGAUACCAGUACUUUCUAUGCCAAGUUACAGACCGGAAUCUAUUUUUAUAGGCCAAGAUACAAACCUCUGAAAACCAGAGUUUAUAAUGGAAACAUUGACAGGCCCUUAACUAUCACAGCACACAUGGCACUGCUGAAAUCAUAAGGUACAAGGCACAAGAUUUCACAAGCAGGGUGAGCAUUGAAUUUUUCAGCAAUUGUAUUGUCAGAUGCCUUUCAAGUAGAAUUUAGUUAAGUCUCACUAAAGGCACCAUAAAAGCACAGUGUAUGGGUUGACUCCUGCUCUCUGAACACUUGUACCCAGACACACAGAUGCUGAGAAGCACUGAAAUAAACCUGUUGGGAGAUGGCCUUGUAAAUGGCUUUGGUUGGAGAGAAGUAUGUGAAUUUCCUGAGCGCUAGAUUUAGUUUAUGUCUCAACCUUGAAAAUCCUGCCUGUUUUUGCAUGUAGGUCACUACACAUAUUUCUGGGUAUUAUUACAGGACAGGUAGAACUCAUCAGCUAUGUCUUCGUUUUAAUAAUAUCACUGAAGAAAGCUUAAACAUUAUGUUUUUACACAAACAAGUUGGAUAUUAAAACUUAGCAUUUACUGUUCUUUGACGGAUCCUAUCUCUGUAAAAAAAAAAAUAAAAAUAGCCUUCUUCAAAGACCACAUUUGACUACUCAACUUUAUUUUAUUAAAGAAAAAUCAUUAAAACAACCACUAUGAAUUUUUUAAUUACUAUGUGUUAUUUUAGUUUAGUUAAAAUGGGACAGGUUCUCCUACCCUUAGUUAAUGAUUGUCAUUGGUUAACACUGAAUGAACGACCCUAGAGUGUGUUAAUUACUUUAAAGGGAGAACUCAGAACAUGUCAGAUACCUAAAUGGGAAAAUAGUGAAAAUGGUUUGAGCUCUGUAGUUAAUUUGAAUGUUCAGGAAGAGUUGUAUUCUCACACUUGUAGCACCAACACCGUGUACCCUCUUUCUUCCUUUUCUUUAUCUCGUUAAAUGUGGGAGAGAUGUAGAGGUGUUAUGUCAGAUACGCUAUCUCAGAAGCAUUGUGAAGUGUUAGAGAAAACCAGUGUCUUGUGGGAAGAUAAUGAAGUGAUAGUUUGUUGCUACAGGUUUUGCAAGUACUGCCAGAAGGAAGAGGUAUGAGGAAGAUGUUAAUUUGAGUCUGAACCAGAUUUUCUGUUCCAGUUAAAUUUUCCUUAUCCUUUGACCUAUAUCCAUAUUCAUUUAUAAGGUUUAGAUAGGAGGCAGGGGUCUAUCCUAAGAGGUAGCUUAUGCAUCAGGAUGGUUUUCCAUUAAUAAAGAGAAUAUGGACAUUUUUGAGUAGGAUUUUUGGACUAGUCAUUAUAUUGCUUCACCUAAUAUGUUAGAAAUAAUGCUUUUGUAUCCUGAAAGAUGGACAAUUUCUAAUCUAUUUAAUUCUGUGCAGUUGUAUAAAUUCUAGGAAAGGGAACCCUCCUUUCCAUCUUUUACUUUCUUGGCCUAUUUAUUUCUUUAGGGAAGAAAGCAUAUAUAUUAAGUCUAGCUGCUUCCCCUUGCUAUUGCUGUUGAAAACUUCACCAUGGGUUGCACAAAAUACAACCAGUAAUCUUGGUUAUUUAGGUAAAAGAUAGGAUCACAUUUUAGAAGUCCAUUUUGUAAAGCCGUUUCACUCUGAAGUUAACUAAAGGGGUGUGCGUGUGUGGAGAAAAUGUGUUUGUGUGUUGCGGGGAGAGAGAGAUUGUGUGUGUAUAGAGAGGGACAGAGACAGACAGACACUCCUAGAUUUACCGAUAUUUCUGCUUUAUAAGUUGUUCCAGAAACAAAAGUAAAUAACAAAAGCAUAAUGCUGCAUAAAACUGCAUGAAGAAUUGCUAGAGCAGACUAAACUUUGCUUUCUGUCAUUUCCAUCCAUAGACUGGUAAGCACUAAGGGCCUACUGGCAUAUUAGACAAUUCACAAAUUCUUCCUAUUAAUAAAUUUAUCCAGUCAGUCUUAGCAUUAGCAAUUUCUGACUAAAAGAGUUUGUAGGAAGGGCAAUAUUUCUAAUCACUCAGAGAUGAGACCUAGAUUUUGCUUUGCCUUUGUGGCCUCAUGCCCCAGAGAUUGGGUGCCUUGGUGCCAAGCUUUCUUUUCCCAGCUCAUUCAUAUGUUUCUCCUCCCCUCUCACACUCUCCUAUUAGGAUUUGAUGUCCCACACACCAGGCUAGGAGCUUCUGACCUUCAGUGGUUGUCCUUUACUACAAACAACUAAAGACCUUGGAUUUAAUUAAUAAUAUUUAUACUUUUUAAUUUGGUUUCAAGCUGUGAUAUUUUUGCUUUCUUUAUAUAUUGACAUUAAUAGGUCAAAUAAGUUAGUGCUCUGUCCUAAAUAUUUUAUCUUAAUUGUAAGGAAAAGACAGAUUUAGGUAUUAUCAAAAGGUGGAGAAUAAAUUUACUUCUGAAAAAAAAUUGAGAAUGUUUUAGAACUUAUGUAAAUAACUGGAGGAGAUUUUUGUCCACCUAGUUUCCAAGAAGAUAUAACCAUUCCCAGUGAAAGGUUUGUCUGGUGAAUGGUAUUUUAUGCCUAAUAUUGAAGUAUGCAAGAGUGCCUUGGGGAACUAGAGGAUAAAGAGGUUGUGAGAAGAAGGGUUAACUCCCAUGCUUAUUCCUUUUAAAAUAUUAUACUUCCUUUCUUGUUCCUUUAAUCUAAAUUAUAAUCACUUCCUCUUUAGUUACUUUCCUAUUGCUGACGAGCAUAGUUGUAACCAUCAACACCCUUCGCGCCCCCACCGCCCAUCCCAUAUGCUUUUGGGGUUGGGAUCUUCUGAGACUACACUUCGUCAGAUAAGCUCUGUUGUGCCCUGUUAUCCUCUUGUCUCAUCAUCCUCUGCAUUUCCUUCAUAACAUAUGACACUACUUGACUCGUGAACUUUAUUUUAUCCUUAGCGUAUUAUUUGUCUUCACCUAGAAUGUAAAUUCUCUGAGGAUAGACUUUUACUGUCUUGUUUACUGUGAAACAGUUACCUUCCAGCCUAGUUUCUGGCACAUGGGAAGAUUCCACAGGUAUUUACUAAGUUGAAUGUAUGCUACGCCUGUGCAGCCUCUGCUUUCUCUAGAUUUUGUUUACUACCUUCUUCUCUUCCUCAGUAGAAAUAUUGAGAAAACAUUACAUGAAAAUUGCCGAGAACAAAUCUAAUGGGGCAGUGUAAGGACCUAUGUUUUUGAACUGUAAGUGCCAUCCUGCUUUUAAUCUUGUUCUGAUCACCUAACUGGGCAAAUAUACCCAUCAGAGCAGUGACAGUGUGAAGGUGAGAGUAGUAAAAAUAAUAGCUAAAUGGGGUACUUACUGGCUAGUGUGUCAGGUGUUGUGGUUACUUCAGGGGUAUUUGUUUAACCUUCACAUAACCUGUCAAAUGUAUAUUUCCCACAUUUACAUUGAGGGUACUGAGGCACAGAGUUUAACCAGCAUGCCUUAAGGUCAGAUAGUUAGUAAAGGCAUUUCCACAAUUUGAGCCUAGAAAAUGUGACUCGAUCCCUGGUGUCCACAGUGGUAGACAGGAGGUUUCUUUUUGUCGGAAAAGUAAAGUGCAGUCAUAAGAAGAAACUUGGUGCUGGUGCCAUGCAGGGAGCUCUUCUCUGGGCUCUUCUUCCCUUUUGUUCUCUUAGAAAAAACAAAAACGUUUUGCUUGCUUUUUUUCUCAUUAGAAGUAGAACUAUGGGGCUGAUUUUACAUGAUCCAAUUUCUGAAUUCAUUCAAUUUAACAGCUUAAGAUUGAGAAGUUAGAAAAUCUUUCAGAGAGAAUAGAACGUUGGAGAUGAACUUUGAGAAGUGACUAGUAGGAUCUGGUCCGAUGGAUAUUUAUUCAUUUAUUCAACAGUAUUUACUCUCUUAUUCUUUGUCAGGCCAUGAAAAUAGAAGAUUUUUUUAAUGUUUCAGAGAGAGAAAUGGGUUGGGAUAGGUUUCCUUGACCAAGGCUAGUUGCCCAAAUAAAUAAAGGUCAGAAAACACUAGAUGUCUUUAGAGAAUGAAAAGAUAUGAAGAAGGUUAGAAAGACAGAUGUGGGUAGCUCAGGAGAAGUGUUGAGAACCUAUAGGUGUAUUUAUAUUUCAGUAAGCAUUAUGGAACCACAGACAUUACCAUGUUUAAUUAACCAAAUGGACAGUAGUAAGCUUUAUAAAGUAAUAUAAUGUGAAAUAUAAAAUGGAUUGGGCCAAAAGAAUAGAAUUUUAUUAAUAGCUAUGCUUCUUAAUUGUAUGAACUUGAAUAAGUCAUUUUAAUAUUUUCAUAAGCAAUUAUUUAUUAAAGGAUAUAUCCUCAUGUUUUAAUUUUUUAAAGCUUGCAUAGGGCUCUAAACCAAAGAAUCUCUGUUUCUUCAUGCAAAGCAAGCUUAUAUUUAUAUAUUUGCGCAAAAUAGAGGGAUCGUGCUAUCUAUACUGCUACUUGCUGAUUUCAGUAUCCUUUGUAUAUUUUCUGCAUCAGUGAGUUUACAUAUUUAAUGCCUCUAUGUUAUUCCAUUUCUAGGUUACCAUAAUUUAUAAAACCAGUUCCUUAUUAAUGGAUAUUUAGGUUAUUUAUAGUUUUUGACUAAUACAGUCAACCUCUUGCUGCAUACAUUUGCCUGGAGGGUAUGUCAGUAGGAUAAAUUCCUAGCAGUAGAAUUGCUGAAUCAAAGGGUAUAUGCGUUUGUAAUUUUGAUAGUCGAUGCCAGAUUGCUUUUCAAAAACUUGUGCUUCUAUAAUUAAGUUAAUCAAAAUCAAAAUGCAUAUUUCUCCAUAUCCUUAUCAACUCUAGGUAUUAUCCCCCCUUUUUUAUUUUGCAAAUUUGAUGAGAAUUACAUCUAAUUUUUUUAGUUGACAUUUCUUUAAUUAUGAGUGAGGUUGCACAUUAUUUUUAUGUUGUAUGUACACAUACACAUAUUGAUACACAGUAACAUUUCAUUUUGCUGUGUACUACCCAUUGCUCUCCUUUAUUCAUUCCUUUCAUUCUUCCAGCUUUAUUUUUCUCAUAUGCUUUUUAAAAAGAGGACUGCUACACGUCUUACCUACUAGAUGGUUGGGAUGAUCAAAUAAGGUGGUAUUUGUGUUUGUAAACCUUUUAUUUCUUUAUGACUCACCUAAGUCACAGUUAGGUGCCGAAAUACUGUGUAUUUGUUUAUGUACUGUGGCCUGUUGGAAGGCCUUAAACCAUUGUAAUAUCUCAGAAUCCCCCCCCAACCAAUUUUUCAUCCUUUCAAGAACGGUAUCACUCCCAUUGAGAAUGUAUGGUACAUAUGAAAGUUUUUGUAAAGUGCAAAGUGCUAUUUAAAUAGUCCAUAUUAUACUAAAAAGCAAAAAAUUAGUUUCUCAAAUAUGAGGAAGGGAAUAAUAGAUCAUUCGGAUGUAUAUUUAUAAUUACGUAAGUUGACUGCUUUGAUCACUUACAUUCAGUUAUCACAUUUAAAUAUGUUGUGACCUCGAAUAUUUGGUAAAACCUUAGAGCUGUAUAAUACUACCUGAGCAGAAUCUUCCUACUAUAUUAAAAAUAACUGGCUAUAGUCACCUUUAGCUUGAUUUUAUAGGAUUUAAAACCUUAGAAGUUUGGAGUUCCUGUCGUGGCGCAGUGGAAAUGAAUCCAACUAGGAACCAUGAGGUUACGGGUUUGAUCCCUGGCCUCACUCAGUGGGUUCAGGAUCUGGCGUUGCCGUGAACUGGUGUAGGUCGCAGAUGCGGCUCGGAUCUGUCAUUGCUGUGGCUCUGGCGAAGGCUGGCAGCAACAGCUCCGAUUAGACCCCUAGCCUGGGAACCUCCAUAUGCCGCAGGUGUGGCCCUAAAAGGACAAAAAGACAAAAAAAUAAAAAUAAAAAAAUCUUAGAAGUUUAAAAUGUAUAUUUACAGUUAUGGCAUAAAAACAUUUCUUUGCUAAGGAAGUCUUUUCAAAAAUGUACUUAUAGGAGUUCCCGUCAUGGCUCAGCGGUUAACGAAUCCGACUAGGAACCAUGAGGUUGCAGGUUUGAUCCCUGGCCUUGCUCAGUGGUUUAAGAAUCUGGUGUUGCUGUGAGCUGUGGUGUGGGUCGCAGACACGGCUUGGAUCCCUUGCUGCUGUGGCUCUGGCAUAGGGCAGCAGCUACAGCUCUGAUUAGACCCCUGGCCUGGGAACAUCCAUAUGCCACCAGUGCGGCCCUACAAAAGACCAAAAAAAAAAAAAAAAAAAAAA